GCCGGUGUAGCUCAGCUUGGUAGAGCGGCUGACUUGUAAUCAGCAGGUCGUGGGUUCGAAUCCCGCCACCGGCUCCA
RNAcentral lists this transfer RNA (77 nucleotides) under Blastocatellia bacterium. Its description in RNAcentral is "tRNA-Thr". It matches the Rfam family "tRNA". From Rfam's summary of the family: Transfer RNA (tRNA) molecules are approximately 80 nucleotides in length. Their secondary structure includes four short double-helical elements and three loops (D, anti-codon, and T loops). Lineage: Bacteria; Pseudomonadati; Acidobacteriota; Blastocatellia. The record is from RNAcentral.